AUUGAACGCUAGCGGGAUGCUUUACACAUGCAAGUCGAACGGCCGCGCGGACUUCGGUCUGGCGGCGCGUGGCGAACGGGUGAGUAAUGUAUCGGAACGUGCCCAGUAGCGGGGGAUAACUACGCGAAAGCGUAGCUAAUACCGCAUCCGCUCUACGGGGGAAAGCAGGGGAUCGUUAGACCUUGCCCUAUUUGCUCGGCCGAUAUCGGAUUAGCUAGUUGGUGAGGUAACGGCUCACCAAGGCGACGAUCCGUAGCUGGUUUGAGAGGGCGACCAGCCACACUGGGACUGAGACACGGCCCAGACUCCUACGGGAGGCAGCAGUGGGGAAUUUUGGACAAUGGGGGCAACCCUGAUCCAGCCAUCCCGCGUGUGCGAUGAAGGCCUUCGGGUUGUAAAGCACUUUUGGCAGGAAAGAAACGUCGCGGGCUAAUACCCCGUGGAACUGACGGUACCUGCAGAAUAAGCACCGGCUAACUACGUG
Molecule: ribosomal RNA, 484 nt
Filed under: uncultured bacterium
Lineage: Bacteria
Description: partial 16S ribosomal RNA
Rfam family: Bacterial small subunit ribosomal RNA
Source: RNAcentral